AUCUUCAGUCAUACCACCCUGAACAUGCUUGAUCUCGUUUGAUCUCAGAAGCUUAGCAGGGUCGGGCCCAUUUAUUACUUGGAUGGGAUACCGCCUGGAAAUACUAGGCGCUGUAGGCU
Colobus angolensis palliatus is the source of this 119-nucleotide ribosomal RNA. Lineage: Eukaryota; Metazoa; Chordata; Mammalia; Primates; Cercopithecidae. The record is from Ensembl.